UAACCUUUCCUUUCUUGCAAAGCAUAUCGAUCAACACACUAGAUGUAGUCACAUCAGGCUGAAUACCUACAUCCAACAUCUCAUUAAACAAACAUUUAGCCUUCUCCCACUUUCCACUAAGGCAAAAUCCAUGAAUCAAAGUGGUAUAUGAAAUGACAUCUGGCAUUAUCCCCUGAGCUUUCAUUUCCUCGAAAAGUUCUCUUGCCUCAUCUUCCCGCCUAUCCUUACAAAGUCCAUCAAUAAUGAUACUAUAAGAAAUAAGAGUAGGCUUACAUUUAAUCCCAUAUCGACCGGUGUCAUUGAGCAUUUCUUGAUGUAAUUGAAGUGCAGUGUUAAUAUUCCCUGUUUGACAGAGCCCUUUCAUUAAAGUCCCAUAAGCAAUCGCAUCAGGCCUACAACCUAACUUUUGCAUACUCAUAAAUAGCCGUGUAGCUUCACUAAUCCUAUGCUUCAUACACAAGCCCUUAAUCAAGGUACUAUAGGUGACUAUAUCAAGAAUGCAACCCCUCUGAAUCAUCACCUCUAGCAACUCGUUGGCCUCAAUAACCUUUCCUUCCUUGCAAAGUAUAUCAAUCAACAUACUAGACGUAGUCACAUCAGGCCGAAUACCUACAUCCAACAUCUCAUUAAACAAACAUUUAGCCUUCUCCCACUUUCCACUACGACAAAAUCCAUGAAUCAAAGAGGUAUAUGAAAUGACAUCUGGCAUCAUCCCCUGAGCCUUCAUUUCCUUGAAAAGUUCUCUUGCCUCGUCUUCUCGCCUAUCCUUACAAAGUCCAUCAAUAAUUAUACUAUAAGAAAUAAGAGUAGGCUUACAUUUAAUCCCAUAUUGACUGGUGUCAUUGAGCAUUUCUUGAUGUAAAUGAAGUGCAAUGUUAAUCUUUCCUGUUUGACAGAGCCCCUUCAUUAAAGUCCCAUAAGCAAUCGCAUCAGGCCUACAACCUAACUUUUUCAUACUCAUAAAUAGCUGUGUAGCUUCACUAAUCCUAUGCUUCAUACACAAGCCCUUAAUCAAGGUACUAUAGGUUACUAUAUCAAGAAUGCAACCUCUAUGAACCAUCACCUCUAGCAACUCGUUAGCCUCGAUAACCUUUCCUUCCUUGCAAAACAUAUCGAUCAACACACCAGACGUAGUCACAUCAGGCUGAAUACCUACAUCCAGCAUCUCAUUAAACAAACAUUUAGCCUUCUCCCACUUUCCACUAUGGCAAAAUCCAUGAAUCAAAGAGGUAUAUGAAAUGACAUCUGGCAUCAUCCCCUGAGCUUUCAUUUCCUUGAAAAGUUCUCUUGCCUCGUCUUCCCGCCUAUCCUUACAAAGUCCAUCAAUAAUGAUACUAUAAGAAAUUAGAGUAGGCUUACAAUUAAUCCCAUAUCGACCGGUGUCAUUGAGCAUUUCUUGAUGUAAUUGAAGUGCAAUGUUAAUAUUCCCUGUUUGACAGAGCCCCUUCAUUAAAGUCCCAUAAGUAAUCGCAUCAGGCCUACAACCUAACUUUUGCAUACU
Molecule: long non-coding RNA, 1501 nt
Filed under: Cucumis sativus (cucumber)
Lineage: Eukaryota; Viridiplantae; Streptophyta; Magnoliopsida; Cucurbitales; Cucurbitaceae
Description: long non-coding RNA (CSAT_LNC002861)
Source: RNAcentral